Long non-coding RNA from Nomascus leucogenys (northern white-cheeked gibbon), 912 nucleotides. RefSeq lists it as uncharacterized. The transcript is spliced from 6 exons. The record is from RefSeq and is a predicted model, not a curated record. NCBI's taxonomy places the organism in Eukaryota, Metazoa, Chordata, Mammalia, Primates, Hylobatidae.
AUGACGGCCGUAGCAAACGGAUUCAUGCGCCAAGCCACAUAUCCCACUGAGACCCUCUGGAACGAAAAGCAAGAAAGAGCCCCUCACUCAUGUUUCCCGCUGUGCCCACCUGCAGUGCAUUGCUUUAGGACUUGACAGAUGAAAUCAACAUCUUCCCAAACUUCUCUGCUGGAAGACUGUCUGGAAUGUCUCCCCUUGGCCCUCUGGGGGAUGCUGCCCACUCCACAGGGCUCCCUGCAGCUCUGUCUGAUUAUAAAGCUUCUCCCUAAUGGGCAAGAUCUCACACAUGAUAGAGCCAUAAAACGUGGCACUCCUGGCUGGCCCUGCUGCUUGUCUGAUAAGGGAGAUCGAGGGACUCACCAGCACAGGCAGAGGGCCCCGGGUCUUACCCCACCCCCGUGCCUCCUCCCCACCCCUGCUGGUCUGGGCUUCCAGCAUGUUGGAAAGCCUGUUCUGCAGAACACAAAGCCCAUGUUUUGCAAUGAUGAGGAUUCCAUGUUCAAGAAAGGUUGGGAAAUCUCUCCUCUCCUAGGGAUUCAAAACACCCAUGAGCACAGUCAUGGCUGUGAGGAGGCUUCCCAUAAAGAAAACCUGCUCGCAUUUCCCUGGGACACAUUGCUGAAGCUUGUCACGGUGGUGAGAGAGACCUGUGGUCUCCUAGGAGGCGUGGAGCAGCCUUCCCACACUCUCUGCACUUACACAUCCUCGGGGGAUCUGGGCCAGGGGCAGAUUCUGGCACCUCAGGCCUCGGCUGAGGCUCCAGACGCUGUGUCUCUCACAAGCCCCCGGGGGACAGUGACGCUGCAGGUCCACAGGCCACAGGGAUCCAGAGUGGCUGCUGAUGAGAAGACAGAGCAUAAAGAGGUUAAACCAUGCCUAUGGUCACCCCUAUCUGGUGAAGCUGAGAUUUGA